This 606-nucleotide ribosomal RNA is filed under the name Triticum aestivum (bread wheat). RNAcentral's name for it is "partial small subunit ribosomal RNA". The record is from RNAcentral. Lineage: Eukaryota; Viridiplantae; Streptophyta; Magnoliopsida; Poales; Poaceae.
AUGGAGGAGGAGAAGAAGAUGAAGCUCUGCUUCUCCAUCCCCUCGAAGCCCAAGGUCAAGCCCGCCACGCCCCCCGCCGCCUUCUCCGUCGCCGCCGUGGCCCCCGGCCCCGCCCCGCGGUUCGUCACCGUGUUCGAUCCCUCGGAAACCCUGACCCCAGCGCCCGCCGUCAUCGCGCCCCUUCCCGACUCCCGCAAACCCUCCCCAGCCGCUGCCGCGCCGGCCGCGCCCGUCGUCAUCGCGCCCCUUCCCAACACGCGCAGGCUCGCCGAGGCCCCCGCCUUCGUGCUCGGCGCCUCCGACAGCCGCUCCUCCAGCGCAGCCUACGGCCUCACCGUCCGCAAUACGGAUUCGAAGAGGAAGCUUGAGCCCCAGGACGAUGCCGCUAGUCAGCAGCCGCCGCCUCCAGGCCCCAGCGGCGAGGACCUUAUGCUGCGGCGGUUCAAGGAGGACAUGGCCGUUCUCCCGGAGAUCCAAGGCACGGACGAGUAUGACGAGGUGCCUGUGGAGGGCUUCGGCGCUGCUCUCCUCGCUGGCUAUGGCUGGAAGGAAGGGGAUCCUAUCGGCAAGAAGUACAAGGGCAUGGGGGAUGUCAAGGGUUCGUGA